This 93-nucleotide microRNA precursor is filed under the name Pelodiscus sinensis (Chinese soft-shelled turtle). Its description in RNAcentral is "miRNA (ENSPSIG00000020001.1)". Lineage: Eukaryota; Metazoa; Chordata; Testudines; Trionychidae. The record is from RNAcentral.
CCAAGUUUUUAUAUAUAUAUGAGGUGUGUGUGUGUGUGUGUGUGUGUGUGUUUAAGAUAUAUAUACACAUACAAUUUUUCCCAUUUGUAUGCA